RNAcentral lists this ribosomal RNA (253 nucleotides) under uncultured bacterium. RNAcentral's name for it is "partial 16S ribosomal RNA". It matches the Rfam family "Bacterial small subunit ribosomal RNA", at positions 524 to 776 of the family's 1533-position model. The record is from RNAcentral.
UACGUAGGGUCCGAGCGUUGUCCGGAAUUACUGGGCGUAAAGAGCUCGUAGGUGGUUUGUCGCGUUGUUCGUGAAAACUCACAGCUCAACUGUGGGCGUGCGGGCGAUACGGGCAGACUAGAGUACUGCAGGGGAGACUGGAAUUCCUGGUGUAGCGGUGGAAUGCGCAGAUAUCAGGAGGAACACCGGUGGCGAAGGCAGAUCUCUGGGCCGUAACUGACGCUGAGGCACGAAGGCCAGGGGAGCAAACGGG